This 207-nucleotide long non-coding RNA is filed under the name Elaeis guineensis (African oil palm). RNAcentral's name for it is "long non-coding RNA (EGUI_LNC074215)". The record is from RNAcentral. Lineage: Eukaryota; Viridiplantae; Streptophyta; Magnoliopsida; Arecales; Arecaceae.
UGCUAUUUUUGUCUGUUUCAAUUCUAUUUUACUAAAAAUAAGAGAAAAAAAUCUUCUUCAUUGGUCUUAUUCAAAACUUUCAGCUCAAUAUUCUUAUCUUACAGUCCAAGCCCUGCUGACACAUAUCAUGCUAUUUUUCCAAUUUGUGAUCUCCAAGUGAUAUAUGGUUAGGAUCUGAAUGUUGGGUGAUAAAGGUUUGGCCUUGGG